This 581-nucleotide ribosomal RNA is filed under the name uncultured bacterium. Its description in RNAcentral is "partial 16S ribosomal RNA". It matches the Rfam family "Bacterial small subunit ribosomal RNA", at positions 338 to 916 of the family's 1533-position model. The record is from RNAcentral.
CCUACGGGAGGCAGCAGUGGGGAAUCUUGCGCAAUGGCCUAACGGCUGACGCAGCGACGCCGCGUGUGGGAUGAAGCUCCUCGGAGUGUAAACCACUGUUGCCCGGGACGAAUAGCUCGAUUAAUCGAGCCUGACGGUACCGGGUGAGGAAGCACCGGCUAACUCCGUGCCAGCAGCCGCGGUAAUACGGGGGGAGCAAGCGUUGUUCGGAUUUACUGGGCGUAAAGGGCGCGUAGGCGGCCAGCACAAGUCAGUUGCGAAAUCUCCGAGCUUAACUCGGAAAGGUCAACUGAUACUGUGCGGCUAGAGUGCAGAAGGGGCAACUGGAAUUCUUGGUGUAGCGGUGAAAUGCGUAGAUAUCAAGAGGAACACCUGCGGCGAAGGCGGGUUGCUGGGCUGACACUGACGCUGAGGCGCGAAAGCCAGGGGAGCGAACGGGAUUAGAUACCCCGGUAGUCCUGGCCUUAAACGAUGAAUGCUUGGUGUCUGGGGUUAUAAAGUCCCUGGGUGCCGUCGCUAACGCUUUAAGCAUUCCGCCUGGGGAGUACGGUCGCAAGGUUGAAACUCAAAGGAAUUGACGG